This is a long non-coding RNA of Adelges cooleyi (spruce gall adelgid), 457 nucleotides long. RefSeq lists it as uncharacterized. The transcript is spliced from 3 exons. The record is from RefSeq and is a predicted model, not a curated record. NCBI's taxonomy places the organism in Eukaryota, Metazoa, Arthropoda, Insecta, Hemiptera, Adelgidae.
AGAUAAAGUUGGUAGCCUUAUUGAAAGCCAUAACAUAUUAAUAUAAUGACGAAUAUAAACUAUUUUAUUUUUUUGUGUCUGACAUUUUAUACACCAUCAGUCAACUCUAACCCAGAUAAGGAGACCGCAGAACUCCUUUUUCAAACGAUUAUAAAAGAUAUCAAUCAUCACCAUAAGUAUGCAACUCAAUUGAAUGGCAUGACGCUUAGACAAUUUAUGAAUUAUAUUCCUGAAGGUUCCAAAAACACUGCGCAGAUUGCGGCAUCGCAGCGUUUUGGUCGCUUCCAUUUCGACGACGACACAGUGCCAUUUACACAAAUCAUAGAUCAAGACGAUUUUUAUGGUCUAAUAAAAAAAAUCUGUAACAUAUUAAACAAAAAAAUACAUCAAUACGCUGGACAAAUAGAGGAUGCAAUUGCUAUAAAAAACGCUAAAAAAAAAGAAGCUUCAAAACAAA